Molecule: ribosomal RNA, 744 nt
Filed under: uncultured Bacillota bacterium
Lineage: Bacteria; Bacillati; Bacillota
Description: bacterial SSU rRNA
Rfam family: Bacterial small subunit ribosomal RNA
Source: RNAcentral
GACGAACGCUGGCGGCGUGCCUAAUACAUGCAAGUCGAGCGGACCUUUCGGGGUCAGCGGCGGACGGGUGAGUAACACGUGGGCAAUCUGCCCGAUACUCUGGGAUAACGCUUGGAAACGAGUGCUAAUACCGGAUGGUCUUCUUGGCCGCAUGGCCGAGAAGGAAAAGACGCGUUCGCGUCGGUGUCGGAUGAGCCCGCGGCGCAUUAGCUAGUUGGUGAGGUAACGGCCCACCAAGGCGACGAUGCGUAGCCGACCUGAGAGGGUGACCGGCCACACUGGGACUGAGACACGGCCCAGACUCCUACGGGAGGCAGCAGUAGGGAAUCUUCCACAAUGGGCGAAAGCCUGAUGGAGCAACGCCGCGUGAGUGAUGAAGGCCUUCGGGUUGUAAAACUCUGUCAUUCGGGACGAACCGGAGUCUGAGGAAAUGCAGACUCUCUGACGGUACCGGAGGAGGAAGCCCCGGCUAACUACGUGCCAGCAGCCGCGGUAAUACGUAGGGGGCAAGCGUUGUCCGGAUUCACUGGGCGUAAAGCGCGCGCAGGCGGUGAUGUAAGUCUGAGGUGAAAACCCGAAGCUCAACUUCGGGACUGCCUUGGAUACUGCGUCACUUGAGGAUAGGAGAGGCAAGGGGAAUUCCACGUGUAGCGGUGAAAUGCGUAGAGAUGUGGAGGAACACCUGUGGCGAAGGCGCCUUGCUGGCCUAUUUCUGACGCUGAGGCGCGAAAGCGUGGGGAGCAA